Molecule: ribosomal RNA, 335 nt
Filed under: uncultured bacterium
Lineage: Bacteria
Description: bacterial SSU rRNA
Rfam family: Bacterial small subunit ribosomal RNA
Source: RNAcentral
CGUGUAGGCGGUUGGUCAAGUCUGGUGUGAAAGCCCGGGGCUUAGCCCCGGAAGUGCGCUGGAAACUAAGCCAACUUGAGCGCGAUAGAGGAGGGUGGAAUUCCUGGUGUAGCGGUGAAAUGCGUAGAUAUCAGGAGGAACACCGGCGGCGAAGGCGGCCCUCUGGAUCGUUGCUGACGCUGAGACGCGAAAGCGUGGGGAGCAAACAGGAUUAGAUACCCUGGUAGUCCACGCUAGUAAACGAUGGGUACUAGGUGUUCGGGGUGUUGACCCCCCGAGUGCCGACGCUAACGCAUUAAGUACCCCGCCUGGGGACUACGGCCGCAAGGCGUAAA